GGUGAACGCUGGCGGUAGGCCUAACACAUGCAAGUCGAACGGCAGCACAGUAAGAGCUUGCUCUUACGGGUGGCGAGUGGCGGACGGGUGAGGAAUACAUCGGAAUCUACUUUUUCGUGGGGGAUAACGUAGGGAAACUUACGCUAAUACCGCAUACGACCUACGGGUGAAAGCAGGGGAUCUUCGGACCUUGCGCGAUUGAAUGAGCCGAUGUCGGAUUAGCUGGUUGGCGGGGUAAAGGCCCACCAAGGCGACGAUCCGUAGCUGGUCUGAGAGGAUGAUCAGCCACACUGGAACUGAGACACGGUCCGGACUCCUACGGGAGGCAGCAGUGGGGAAUAUUGGACAAUGGGCGCAAGCCUGAUCCAGCCAUACCGCGUGGGUGAAGAAGGCCUUCGGGUUGUAAAGCCCUUUUGUUGGGAAAGAAAAGCAGCAGGUUAAUACCCCGCUGUUCUGACGGUACCCAAAGAAUAAGCACCGGCUAACUUCGUG
RNAcentral lists this ribosomal RNA (492 nucleotides) under uncultured bacterium. RNAcentral describes it as "partial 16S ribosomal RNA". It matches the Rfam family "Bacterial small subunit ribosomal RNA", at positions 28 to 507 of the family's 1533-position model. The record is from RNAcentral.